CGUUACAGUCAUGCCACCCUGAAUGAGCAUGAUCCCUCUGAUCUCUGAAAGCUAAGCAGGUCGGGCCUGGUUAGUGCUUGGAUGGAAGACCACCUAGGAAGACCAGAUGCUGUAGGCGU
Molecule: ribosomal RNA, 119 nt
Filed under: Pteropus vampyrus (large flying fox)
Lineage: Eukaryota; Metazoa; Chordata; Mammalia; Chiroptera; Pteropodidae
Source: RNAcentral